This 520-nucleotide ribosomal RNA is filed under the name uncultured Glomus. RNAcentral's name for it is "SSU rRNA". It matches the Rfam family "Eukaryotic small subunit ribosomal RNA", at positions 569 to 1089 of the family's 1831-position model. The record is from RNAcentral. Lineage: Eukaryota; Fungi; Glomeromycota; Glomeromycetes; Glomerales; Glomeraceae.
AGCAGCCGCGGUAAUUCCAGCUCCAAUAGCGUAUAUUAAAGUUGUUGCAGUUAAAAAGCUCGUAGUUGAAUUUCGGGGUCAGUAGGCUGGUCGUGCCACGGGUACGUACUGGUUUUACUGAUUCCUCCUUCCUGAAGAACCGUAAUGCCAUUAAUUUGGUGUUGCGGGGAAACAGGACUGUUACUUUGAAAAAAUUAGAGUGUUUAAAGCAGGCUAACGCUUGAAUACAUUAGCAUGGAAUAAUGAAAUAGGACGAUCGAUCCUAUUAUGUUGGUUUCUAGGAUUAACGUAAUGAUUAAUAGGGAUAGUUGGGGGGCAUUAGUAUUCAAUUGUCAGAGGUGAAAUUCUUGGAUUUAUUGAAGACUAACUACUGCGAAAGCAUUUGCCAAGGAUGUUUUCAUUAAUCAAGAACGAAAGUUAGGGGAUCGAAGACGAUCAGAUACCGUCGUAGUCUUAACCAUAAACUAUGCCGACUAGGGAUCGGAUGAUGUUAAUUUUAUAAUGACUCAUUCGGCGCCUU